CCUACGGGAGGCAGCAGUGAGGAAUAUUGGUCAAUGGGCGGGAGCCUGAACCAGCCAAGUCGCGUGAGGGACGACGGUCCUAUGGAUUGUAAACCUCUUUUGUCGGGGAACAAAGGCGCCCACGGGUGGGCGGAUGAGUGUACCCGAAGAAAAAGCAUCGGCUAACUCCGUGCCAGCAGCCGCGGUAAUACGGAGGAUGCGAGCGUUAUCCGGAUUUAUUGGGUUUAAAGCGCUCGUAGGCGGUAUGUCAAGUCAAGGGUGAAAUCCCCGCGCUCAACGUGGGAACUGCCUUUGAAACUGGCAAACUGGAGUGUGUGAGAGGAUAGUGGAAUUCCAGGUGUAGGAGUGAAAUCCGUAGAUAUCUGGAGGAACAUCAGUGGCGAAGGCGACUAUCUGGCACAUAACUGACGCUGAGGAGCGAAAGCGUGGGUAGCAAACAGGAUUAGAUACCCGAGUAGUC
This 460-nucleotide ribosomal RNA is filed under the name uncultured bacterium. Its description in RNAcentral is "partial 16S ribosomal RNA". It matches the Rfam family "Bacterial small subunit ribosomal RNA", at positions 338 to 795 of the family's 1533-position model. The record is from RNAcentral.